Molecule: small nuclear RNA, 337 nt
Filed under: Sphenodon punctatus (tuatara)
Lineage: Eukaryota; Metazoa; Chordata; Lepidosauria; Sphenodontia; Sphenodontidae
Description: 7SK RNA (ENSSPUG00000019248.1)
Rfam family: 7SK RNA (bases 1-197)
About the family: 7SK was discovered as an abundant small nuclear RNA in the mid-70s but a possible function has only recently been suggested. Two independent studies have found that 7SK RNA binds the CDK9/cyclin T complex (known as elongation factor P-TEFb).
Source: RNAcentral
GGAUGUGAGGGCAAUCUGGCUGCGACAUCUGUCACCCCAUUGAUCACCAGGGUUGAUUCGGCUGAUCUGGCUUGCUAGGCGGGUGUCCCCUUCCUCCCCCACCGCUCCAUGUGCGUCCCUCCUGAAGCUGUGUGCUUGGUGGAAGAGGACGUACUCCCAGAUAGGAGUACCGUUCUUCGGUCAAGGGUAUACGAUGUGCUGUAAUGUAUUUCCUUCAGCAGUUUUACAUGGUAGAUAAUAGAUAUCAGAGGACACCUAAGGAAGAAAGGUUAUGCUUACACUGCGAAAUGGCUGUGCCCGAGAUGGACAAGCAUAUAAUUCUAUAUUGCCCAGCUUU